GAAUACGGCCCGCAAAGUAAAACUUCAAAAGGAAUUGACGGGGGGCCCGCAACAAGCACGGAGCGUGUGGUUUAAUUCGAGGCUACACGAAGAACCUUACCUGGGCUUGACAUCACGGUGGUAGGGAACCGAAAGGGGACCGACCUUCGGGAGCCGUGACAGGUGCUGCAUGGCUGUCGUCAGCUCGUGUCGUGAGAUGUUCGGUUAAGUCCGGUAACGAGCGCAACCCUCGUCGCCAGUUACACGGUGUCUGGCGAGACUGCCCGUAGAAAGCGGGAGGAAGGUGGGGAUGACGUCAAGUCAGCAUGGCCUUGAUGUCCAGGGCGACACACACGCUACAAUGGCCGGUACAAUAGGUAGCCAACCCGCGAGGGGGAGCCAAUCCAGCAAAGCCGGUCUCAGUUCGGAUUGCAGGCUGCAACCCGCCUGCAUGAAGUCGGAGUUGCUAGUAACCGCAGGUCAGCCAUACUGCGGUGAAUACGUUCCCGGGCCUUGUACACACCGCCCGUCACGUCAUGGGAGCUGGUCAUGCCUGAAGUCGGUGGGCCAACCGCAAGGAGGCAGCCGCCGAAGGCAGGGCUGGUGACUGGGACGAAGUCGUAACAAGGUACCUGCUAGCGGAAGCUGCGGCUGGAUCACCUUAAUC
RNAcentral lists this ribosomal RNA (646 nucleotides) under uncultured bacterium. Its description in RNAcentral is "bacterial SSU rRNA". It matches the Rfam family "Bacterial small subunit ribosomal RNA", at positions 878 to 1533 of the family's 1533-position model. The record is from RNAcentral.